CCUUACGGCCUGACUCUGCUCCUUUCGCUCGCUUGUAUCUCCAAUGGCCACUGGGCUCGGCCUAUGACUUCUUCUGGCCAGUGAAAUGCAGGAGGGAAUGACAUCACCACACUUUUUCCUUUUCCGUGUUAACCAGCAAUAUUCAAAAAUCGACCUGGGUCCCAGAGAAAAAUGGUGGGAAGCAGAGCCACACCCAACCCACAGCAGACAUACAACAGAAGUGAGCACCGUUUCCUGUGUGAACUCACUGCGGUUUGUGGGGGAGCUUUUUACCACAGUAUAAUCUAGCCUCUCCUGACUACAUACACCUCAUAAGGUCGUGAAAUCCAAUAAGGCCCACAACUAAUCUCUUUCCCAACCUCCUCUGCAUGUAGAAGUGGCCACAUGACUGACUGGCAGCCAAUUGAUGGGAGUGGAUGUAGCUGGUGCCAGUUCCCUGCCAUCCAAUAAACCAGCCUUGAGCAGUCCUCCCACUGCACCUCUGCCUACGUGAGAUGCAAGCAAGCAAGGUCCGCUUGGAAGAUCUGUGUUGAAAAUCGGACACAGAACCAUCCUGAAGGUUCCUCCUGGGCCCUGUCCAGUCACUGGAUAUGGGACCAAAGGCAGCAGGCUCCCCGCCUCCCACGCUGCUCCCAGCCCCAAC
This is a long non-coding RNA of Bos taurus (domestic cattle), 643 nucleotides long. The record is from Ensembl. Lineage: Eukaryota; Metazoa; Chordata; Mammalia; Artiodactyla; Bovidae.